RNAcentral lists this long non-coding RNA (465 nucleotides) under Nicotiana benthamiana. RNAcentral's name for it is "long non-coding RNA (NBEN_LNC023211)". Lineage: Eukaryota; Viridiplantae; Streptophyta; Magnoliopsida; Solanales; Solanaceae. The record is from RNAcentral.
ACGUAUAGAAGGAGCUUAAUGCACCCAGCUGUCCUAUUUUAUACAUAACACAUGUUACAAUGAGUUUUGAGUUAAAACCUAAGCUUUCUACAGCUAAUGUAGGGAAGGGGCAGCAAGGAAGGGGACCAAAUGGAGGUUCAAACAAUUUUCACCAUCAACGUCCAUAUAAAAGUUCAGCUCUACCCCUGAAGCAGUCCUCCAUCUUCACAUCAACUAAUACUGCCAUUUUCAUAUCGUCCCUUCUACUUGUUUUUCUCUUUGUACUUCAAUGAAAAUGUGAAAUAUGUGCAGCCAAGUGCAAGGGCUGACUUCCAGGUACAUAGCCACACACAUCAUGUCCGAGAAAAGUGUCCUUUUCACGUAAGAAAAGGUGUAAUUGUUGGGCCCAACUCUAUUUGGUAUAUAUACAUGAAAAUGCAGUAUUUUGAGGACUUUUGAUAUAAUUUAGUUCUAAGGAAGUUAAGG